This 92-nucleotide ribosomal RNA is filed under the name Pteropus alecto (black flying fox). Lineage: Eukaryota; Metazoa; Chordata; Mammalia; Chiroptera; Pteropodidae. The record is from RNAcentral.
GUCUACAGCCAUGCUACCCUGAACAAGCCCGAUCCCAUCUGAUCUUGGAAGCGAAGCAAGGUCGGGCCUAGGAGGACCAGGUGCUGUAGAUG